This 486-nucleotide ribosomal RNA is filed under the name uncultured bacterium. RNAcentral's name for it is "partial 16S ribosomal RNA". It matches the Rfam family "Bacterial small subunit ribosomal RNA", at positions 30 to 507 of the family's 1533-position model. The record is from RNAcentral.
AUUGAACGCUGGCGGCAUGCCUUACACAUGCAAGUCGAACGGCAGCACGGGUGCUUGCACCUGGUGGCGAGUGGCGAACGGGUGAGUAAUACAUCGGAACAUGUCCUGUAGUGGGGGAUAGCCCGGCGAAAGCCGGAUUAAUACCGCAUACGAUCCACGGAUGAAAGCGGGGGACCUUCGGGCCUCGCGCUAUCGGGUUGGCCGAUGGCUGAUUAGCUAGUUGGUGGGGUAAAGGCCUACCAAGGCGACGAUCAGUAGCUGGUCUGAGAGGACGACCAGCCACACUGGGACUGAGACACGGCCCAGACUCCUACGGGAGGCAGCAGUGGGGAAUUUUGGACAAAGGGCGAAAGCCUGAUCCAGCAAUGCCGCGUGUGUGAAGAAGGCCUUCGGGUUGUAAAGCACUUUUGUCCGGAAAGAAAUCCUUGACUCUAAUACAGUCGGGGGAUGACGGUACCGGAAGAAUAAGCACCGGCUAACUACGUG